AUGUUUCAGGAUGAUGAAAGCAGUGUUAAUGGAAUCAACAGUGAUGGUGGGAGCAGCAGUGAUGAUGAAGCCCUGAUGUUGUUCAUGGACCAAAAAAGGAAGAGAAGAAUGAUGCAGAUGGCCUGCAUGAUUGGUAUGUACUACUUGGACUCUUACGGUAACAAAGGACCUAGAAGAGUACCAAUACAGUCUGGGCAUGAUUGGGUUAUGACAACACUAGGCAACGAAACUGCUUGUUACAACAUGUUUAGAAUGCACAGACCAGUGUUUGAAAAAUUGCAUAGUGUGCUUGUUGAUUCCUAUGGUUUGAAGUCCACUAAAAGAAUGUCAUCAGUUGAGUCUCUAGGCCUGUUUCUUUGGAUAGUAGGUUCCCCACAAUCUGUAAGACCUCCGCAUAACACUGGUUCCAGCAUCUCCGACAACGUAUGCAGCUUUCGGCGGCGGCAUAGCUAUGCGCAUGGCCGAUUCCAGCAAAAUCCGACAACCAUUGUAGCUUUUCACGCCAUCAUUGUAUCUUGCGCAAUGGCUGGUUCCGGCAUCUCCGUUUGA
RNAcentral lists this ribosomal RNA (549 nucleotides) under Triticum aestivum (bread wheat). RNAcentral describes it as "partial small subunit ribosomal RNA". Lineage: Eukaryota; Viridiplantae; Streptophyta; Magnoliopsida; Poales; Poaceae. The record is from RNAcentral.